RNAcentral lists this transfer RNA (34 nucleotides) under Brachythecium rutabulum. RNAcentral's name for it is "partial transfer RNA-Lys". Lineage: Eukaryota; Viridiplantae; Streptophyta; Bryopsida; Hypnales; Brachytheciaceae. RNAcentral also lists the same sequence under 2 other names. The record is from RNAcentral.
CGACGAGUUCCGGGUUCGAGCCCCGGGCAACCCA